UGGUGGAGUGAUUUGUCUGGUUAAUUCCGAUAACGAACGAGACUCUGUCCUGCUAACUAGGUUGUGUUUUCUCGGGUUGAUGUUCUGGUGUUCCUUCUCGGGGCGCCGGCCCAAUCCACUUGUGAACACAACACUCUUCUUAGAGGGACUGGCGGCUGUUAGCCGCACGAGAUAGAGCAAUAACA
This 185-nucleotide ribosomal RNA is filed under the name uncultured eukaryote. RNAcentral's name for it is "partial 18S ribosomal RNA". It matches the Rfam family "Eukaryotic small subunit ribosomal RNA", at positions 1299 to 1458 of the family's 1831-position model. The record is from RNAcentral.